GAUGAACGCUAGCGAUAGGCCUAACACAUGCAAGUCGAGGGGCAUCACAUGAAGUAGCAAUACGGAUGGUGGCGACCGGCGCACGGGUGAGUAACACGUAUGCAACCUGCCUUCAACAAGGGGAUAACCCGUUGAAAGACGGACUAAUACCCUAUAACACAGGGGUCCCGCAUGGGAAUAUUUGUUAAAGGACAACCGGUUGAAGAUGGGCAUGCGUUCCAUUAGCUAGUUGGCGGGGUAACGGCCCACCAAGGCAACGAUGGAUAGGGGAACUGAGAGGUUUAUCCCCCACACUGGUACUGAGACACGGACCAGACUCCUACGGGAGGCAGCAGUGAGGAAUAUUGGUCUAAGGACGCAAGUCUGAACCAGCCACGUCGCGUGAAGGAAGACGGCCCUACGGGUUGUAAACUUCUUUUAUACGGGAAUAAAGUGCCCCACGCGUGGGGUUUUGCAUGUACCGUAUGAAUAAGGAUCGGCUAACUCCGUGCCAGC
This 495-nucleotide ribosomal RNA is filed under the name uncultured bacterium. RNAcentral describes it as "bacterial SSU rRNA". It matches the Rfam family "Bacterial small subunit ribosomal RNA", at positions 28 to 512 of the family's 1533-position model. The record is from RNAcentral.